GUGUGAGUUCAGAUCGCAGCUCUACCAGUGAGGCCCAUCCAGCCUGGAGGAGGCCUCCAAGGAGGAAUGCACAGAAUUCCACUCCCAGAUUUCCUGAGGCCUGAACGGACGCUGGAUGACAGCGCAUGGGGAGAGGUGCAAACCCAGAUGUGGGCGCAAGGACAGAUGGAGACGGUCUAGGCCCGCUAGAGAGCUGUUUGGGGGAAUGACACCAACACACAAAU
Molecule: long non-coding RNA, 224 nt
Organism: Talpa occidentalis (Iberian mole)
Lineage: Eukaryota; Metazoa; Chordata; Mammalia; Eulipotyphla; Talpidae
Exons: 3
Source: RefSeq, a predicted model, not a curated record